AAUAAUUAGCGGGGAAAGAAGACCCUUUUGAGCUUGACUCUAAUCUGGCAGUGUAAGGAGACAUAAGAGGUGUAGCAUAAGUGGGAGAUAUUAGAUUUCGGUUUGGUAUCGACAAUGAAAUACCACUACUCUUAUUGUUUCCUUACUUACUUGAUUAAAUGGAACGUGUAUCAUUUCCUAGCCAUUAUACGGAUAUAUUUAUUAUAUCUUAUGGUAUUGGGUUUUGAUGCAAGCUUCUUGAUCAAAGUAUCACGAGUUUGUUAUAUAAUCGCAAACAAAUUCUUUAAUGAGAAAAUGCAUUUAUGUAUUUUCAAUUUGAAAAUUUGGUAUAACUCCAAUUACUCAGGUAUGAUCCAAUUCAAGGACAUUGCCAGGUAGGGAGUUUGACUGGGGCGGUACAUCUCUCAAAUAAUAACGGAGGUGUCCCAAGGGCCAGCUCAGUGCGGGACAGAAACCACACAUAGAGCAAAAGGGCAAAUGCUGACUUUGAUCUCGGUGUUCAGUACACACAGGGACAGCAAAAGCUCGGCCUAUCGAUCCUUUUGUGUAGAGAGUUUUUAACAAGAGGUGUCAGAAAAGUUACCAUAGGGAUAACUGGCUUGUGGCGGCCAAGCGUUCAUAGCGACGUCGCUUUUUGAUCCUUCGAUGUCGGCUCUUCCUAUCAUUGUGAAGCAAAAUUCACCAAGCGUUGGAUUGUUCACCCAUGCAAGGGAACGUGAGCUGGGUUUAGACCGUCGUGAGACAGGUUUAGUUUUACCCUACUAAUGACAAAACGUUGUUGCGACAGCAUUCCUGCGUAGUACGAGAGGAACCGCAGGUACGGACCAAUGGCACAAUACUUGUUCGAGCGAACAGUGGUAUGACGCUACGUCCGUUGGAUUAUGCCUGAACGCCUCUAAGGUCGUAUCCGUGCUGGACUGCAAUGAUAAAUAAGGGGCAAUUUGCAUUGUAUGGCUUCUAAACCAUUAAAAGUUUAUAAUUUAUUUUAUAAACGACAAUGGAUGUGAUGCCAAUGUAAUUUGUAACAUAGUAAAUUGGGAGGAUCAUCGAUCACCUGAUGCCGCGCUAGUUGCAUAUAAAAACAUUAUUUAAUACAAUGACAAAGCCUAGAAUCAAUUGUAAACGACUUUUGUAACAGGCAAGGUGUUGUAAGUGGUUGAGCAGCUGCCAUACUGCGAUCCACUGAAGCUUAUCCUUUGCUUGAUGAUUC
This 1210-nucleotide non-coding RNA is filed under the name Drosophila persimilis. RNAcentral's name for it is "Eukaryotic large subunit ribosomal RNA". It matches the Rfam family "Eukaryotic large subunit ribosomal RNA", at positions 2389 to 3399 of the family's 3401-position model. The record is from Rfam by way of RNAcentral. Lineage: Eukaryota; Metazoa; Arthropoda; Insecta; Diptera; Drosophilidae.